This 958-nucleotide long non-coding RNA is filed under the name Homo sapiens (human). RNAcentral describes it as "long intergenic non-protein coding RNA 2241". The record is from RNAcentral. Lineage: Eukaryota; Metazoa; Chordata; Mammalia; Primates; Hominidae.
UCUCGCCUGCCGCCAUGUAAACGUUCUUUGCUCCUGCUUCGUCUUCUGCCGUGAUUGUGAGGCCUCCCCAGCCAUGUGGAACUACUCAUCACUCACUGCAGAUGUUACUUUAAGACAUUCUGGAGCAGCGUCAUGUGCAGGUGCGUAGUGCCUCCGCCCAUCUCUCUCUUGCUCCUGGUCUCAUCGUGACGGGCCUGGUCCUGCCUCACUUUAUGCCACGACUAAGAGCUCCCUGAGGCCUCUCCAGAAGCAGAUAUCACUAUGCUUCCUACACAGCCUGCAGAACCGAACAAUAAGGAAGUGAGUGCUUUUGUAAUUCCUGAACAACUGUGUCUUACACUUACUAAGGCAAUCUGGGUGUUAUGAAAGAUGUAGACCAACAGAAACACUCAUACCUUUCUGGUGACAAUAAAACUUUGUACAUUUAUUUUGGAAAACCCUAUUUUAGUGCCUUAUAAAAUUGAGCAUUAGAUAAUUAUGGCCCAGAUGCUCCAACGAGAAGUGUAUACUUAAGAGAUGAAUGCCUGUGUGCACCAGAAGACAUGCACAGACAGGCAUGAUUAUAACAACUUUAUUCAUAACAGACCUGAAUUGCAUCAAAUGUUCAACAAAUGAAUAGAUAAACAAAUUAUGCUAUAUAUUAAUAGGAAGGAAUACUACUCAAAAAAAAUAGGCAAACUGCAGACAACAUUUUAAAAUAUAUUGAGUUAAAGAAAUGAGAUACAGAAAAGUACAUACUGCAUGAUACAAUUUAUAUGAAAUUCAAAGACAAGCAAAUGAAUCUAUGGUGAUAGAUCUGGAAGUCAGUAACUGAAAAAGAGCAUGAAAGUAUCUUGGGUCAGGGCAAUGCUAGGUGUCUUGAGAAACAUAGUAAUUUCCUUGGUGUAUAGAAUUGUAAUAUAUCAUCAAGCUCAAGAAUAUGUCUUAUUCAAUAACAAUAACAAAACAAGUAAAAAAA